UCUAAUCUUUUGUCGAUUCACGUAUGUAAAUGGACAAACAAGAUAUCACCUCGUGUGCAUUACACCUCACCCCCCCCCCUCUCUUCCAAGUAAAAUCACUCAGCGACCGUUUAUGGAUUGAUGGGGGCCUAUGUUUGAGUAAAGUUUUAGUGAAAAGCAUAGGAAGAACGAUCUGACGCAGCAGCACAACACUGAUCCGGUUCCGAAGACCCUCUUCAUGAAUACGGUAGGCUGCUGCUGGUGCUCUCCGGCGGCUUGCUCUCCUGCUUUUUCAUGCAAUAACAUCU
This is a non-coding RNA of Caenorhabditis elegans, 287 nucleotides long. Lineage: Eukaryota; Metazoa; Nematoda; Chromadorea; Rhabditida; Rhabditidae. The record is from Ensembl.